This 253-nucleotide ribosomal RNA is filed under the name uncultured bacterium. RNAcentral describes it as "partial 16S ribosomal RNA". It matches the Rfam family "Bacterial small subunit ribosomal RNA", at positions 524 to 776 of the family's 1533-position model. The record is from RNAcentral.
UACAGAGGUCUCAAGCGUUGUUCGGAUUCAUUGGGCGUAAAGGGUGCGUAGGUGGCGCCGUAAGUCGGGUGUGAAAUUUCGGAGCUUAACUCCGAAACUGCAUUCGAUACUGCGGUGCUUGAGGACUGGAGAGGAGACUGGAAUUCAUGGUGUAGCAGUGAAAUGCGUAGAGAUCAUGAGGAAGACCAGUGGCGAAGGCGGGUUGCUGGGCCGACACUGACGCUGAGGCGCGAAAGCUAGGGGAGCGAACGGG